This 427-nucleotide ribosomal RNA is filed under the name uncultured bacterium. RNAcentral describes it as "partial 16S ribosomal RNA". It matches the Rfam family "Bacterial small subunit ribosomal RNA", at positions 355 to 774 of the family's 1533-position model. The record is from RNAcentral.
UGGGGAAUAUUGGACAAUGGGCGAAAGCCUGAUCCAGCCAUGCCGCGUGUGUGAAGAAGGUCUUCGGAUUGUAAAGCACUUUAAGUUGGGAGGAAGGGCAUUAACCUAAUACGUUAGUGUUUUGACGUUACCCACAGAAUAAGCACCGGCUAACUCUGUGCCAGCAGCCGCGGUAAUACAGAGGGUGCAAGCGUUAAUCGGAAUUACUGGGCGUAAAGCGCGCGUAGGUGGUUUGUUAAGUUGGAUGUGAAAUCCCCGGGCUCAACCUGGGAACUGCAUUCAAAACUGACUGACUAGAGUAUGGUAGAGGGUGGUGGAAUUUCCUGUGUAGCGGUGAAAUGCGUAGAUAUAGGAAGGAACACCAGUGGCGAAGGCGACCACCUGGACUAAUACUGACACUGAGGUGCGAAAGCGUGGGGAGCAAACA